Molecule: non-coding RNA, 46 nt
Organism: Branchiostoma floridae (Florida lancelet)
Lineage: Eukaryota; Metazoa; Chordata; Leptocardii; Amphioxiformes; Branchiostomatidae
Source: Rfam
ACCCCGGCCCUUUUCAGGGCCACCACAUACUUCAGAACGAACUAUA